This 490-nucleotide ribosomal RNA is filed under the name uncultured bacterium. RNAcentral's name for it is "bacterial SSU rRNA". It matches the Rfam family "Bacterial small subunit ribosomal RNA", at positions 32 to 507 of the family's 1533-position model. The record is from RNAcentral.
AACGCUAGCGGCAGGCUUAAUACAUGCAAGUCGAGGGGCAUCAAGGUACACGAAAGUGUAUUGUUGGCGACCGGCGGACGGGUGAGUAAUAGGUAGGUAACCUACCUCAUACUGAGGCAUAGCUGGGAGAAAUUCCAGGUAAUUCCUCAUGAGGUUAUAUGACACAUGUGAUAUAAUCAAAGGUAUCGCAAGGUACUGGUAUGAGAUGGGCUUACUGACCAUUAGCUAGUUGGUGAGAUAAGAGCUCACCAAGGCGAAGAUGGUUAGGGGUUUUGAGAGAGAGAUCCCCCACAUUGGAACUGAGACACGGUCCAGACUCCUACGGGAGGCAGCAGUAGGGAAUAUUGGACAAUGGGCGAAAGCCUGAUCCAGCCAUGCCGCGUGAUAGAUGAAGGCCCUCUGGGUUGUAAAUAUCUUUUAUCUGGGAAGAAACAAUCUUAUUCUUAAGAUCUUGACGGUACCAGAGGAAUAAGCACCGGCUAACUCCGUG